GCAGCGUGCUGGCCUUCGUGCUGGACCACCUGCUGCCCCACACGCAGAACGCCGAGGACAAGGACACACCGGCGCUGGCGCGGCUCUUCCUGGCCAGCCUGGCGGCGGCGGGCAGUGGGACGGACGCGCAGGUGGCGCUGGUCAACGAGGUGAAGGCGGCGCUGGGGAGGGCGCUGGCCAUGGCCGAGAGCACCGAGAAGCACGCCAGGCUGCAGGCCGUCAUGUGCAUCAUCAGCACCAUCAUGGAGUCGUGCCCGUCCACCUCCAGCUUCUACAGCAGCGCCAC
Molecule: long non-coding RNA, 286 nt
Organism: Lagopus leucura (white-tailed ptarmigan)
Lineage: Eukaryota; Metazoa; Chordata; Aves; Galliformes; Phasianidae
Exons: 2
Source: RefSeq, a predicted model, not a curated record